GACGAACGCUGGCGGCGUGCUUAACACAAGCAAGUCGUACGGUAAGGCCCUUUCGGGGGUACACGAGUGGCGAACGGGUGAGUAACACGUGAGUAACCUGCCCACAACUUUGGGAUAACGCUAGGAAACUGGUGCUAAUACUGGAUAUGUGCCCCUGCUGCAUGGUGGGGGUUGGAAAGCUCCGGCGGUUGUGGAUGGACUCGCGGCCUAUCAGCUUGUUGGUGGGGUAGUGGCCUACCAAGGCGGCGACGGGUAGCCGGCCUGAGAGGGUGACCGGCCACAUUGGGACUGAGAUACGGCCCAGACUCCUACGGGAGGCAGCAGUGGGGAAUAUUGCACAAUGGGCGCAAGCCUGAUGCAGCAACGCCGCGUGCGGGAUGACGGCCUUCGGGUUGUAAACCGCUUUCAGCAGGGACGAAGCUUUUUGUGACGGUACCUGCAGAAGAAGCACCGGCUAACUACGUG
Molecule: ribosomal RNA, 465 nt
Filed under: uncultured bacterium
Lineage: Bacteria
Description: partial 16S ribosomal RNA
Rfam family: Bacterial small subunit ribosomal RNA
Source: RNAcentral